GACGGAGGAGGCUAGCGUUGUCCGGAUUGACUGGGCGUAAAGCGCGUGUAGGCGGGAUCUUAAGUCGGCGGUGAAAUCCCCAGGCUUAACCUGGGAACUGCCGCCGAAACUGGGGUUCUUGAGGGCAGGAGAGGAGAGUGGAAUUGCUGGUGUAGCGGUGAAAUGCGUAGAGAUCAGCAAGAACACCCGUGGCGAAGGCGACUCUCUGGACUGCUCCUGACGCUGAGACGCGAAAGCCAGGGGAGCGAACGGG
Molecule: ribosomal RNA, 253 nt
Filed under: uncultured bacterium
Lineage: Bacteria
Description: partial 16S ribosomal RNA
Rfam family: Bacterial small subunit ribosomal RNA
Source: RNAcentral